UAUUUUUGCUGUUUUAGAAGGACGACAAUAAUGAAUUCAAAGAAAACGAUGAUUAUGAAGAUGAAGUUUUAGAAAAUUAUAUUGAUGCUCUUCCCAAUCCUGAUAGAGUUAAUGACAAUAAUGAAGAUGACAAAGAUGAUUAUGACAAUGAAGAUGAAGAAACUGUUAUAAACAUGAAUUCUCGGAAAUUAAGUCCAAAAGAAAAGAAAAACCCAAAGAGGAGCAGCUGCCAGGGAGAUUCUGAUGAUGGAGGCGGAAGACCAGGGAG
Centruroides sculpturatus (bark scorpion) is the source of this 268-nucleotide long non-coding RNA. RefSeq lists it as uncharacterized. The record is from RefSeq and is a predicted model, not a curated record. NCBI's taxonomy places the organism in Eukaryota, Metazoa, Arthropoda, Arachnida, Scorpiones, Buthidae. The transcript has 2 exons.